This 982-nucleotide ribosomal RNA is filed under the name Pseudomonas fluorescens. RNAcentral's name for it is "bacterial SSU rRNA". It matches the Rfam family "Bacterial small subunit ribosomal RNA", at positions 86 to 1063 of the family's 1533-position model. Lineage: Bacteria; Pseudomonadati; Pseudomonadota; Gammaproteobacteria; Pseudomonadales; Pseudomonadaceae. The record is from RNAcentral.
CUCUUGAGAGCGGCGGACGGGUGAGUAAUGCCUAGGAAUCUGCCUGGUAGUGGGGGAUAACGUUCGGAAACGGACGCUAAUACCGCACACGUCCUACGGGAGAAAGCAGGGGACCUUCGGGCCUUGCGCUAUCAGAUGAACCUAGGUCGGAUUAACUAGUUGGUGAGGUAAUGGCUCACCAAGGCGACGAUCCGUAACUGGUCUGAGAGGAUGAUCAGUCACACUGGAACUGAGACACGGUCCAGACUCCUACGGGAGGCAGCAGUGGGGAAUAUUGGACAAUGGGCGAAAGCCUGAUCCAGCCAUGCCGCGUGUGUGAAGAAGGUCUUCGGAUUGUAAAGCACUUUAAUUUGGGAGGAAGGGUUGUAGAUUAAUACUCUGCAAUUUUGACGUUACCGACAGAAUAAGCACCGGCUAACUCUGUGCCAGCAGCCGCGGUAAUACAGAGGGUGCAAGCGUUAAUCGGAAUUACUGGGCGUAAAGCGCGCGUAGGUGGUUUGUUAAGUUGGAUGUGAAAUCCCCGGGCUCAACCUGGGAACUGCAUUCAAAACUGACUGACUAGAGUAUGGUAGAGGGUGGUGGAAUUUCCUGUGUAGCGGUGAAAUGCGUAGAUAUAGGAAGGAACACCAGUGGCGAAGGCGACCACCUGGACUAAUACUGACACUGAGGUGCGAAAGCGUGGGGAGCAAACAGGAUUAGAUACCCUGGUAGUCCACGCCGUAAACGAUGUCAACUAGCCGUUGGAAGCCUUGAGCUUUUAUUGGCGCAGCUAACGCAUUAAGUUGACCGCCUGGGGAGUACGGCCGCAAGGUUAAAACUCAAAUGAAUUGACGGGGGCCCGCACAAGCGGUGGAGCAUGUGGUUUUAUUUCUAAGCAACGCGAAGAACAUUACCAGGCCUUGACAUCCAAUGAACUUUCUAGAGAUAGAUUGGUGCCUUCGGGAACAUUGAGACAGGUGCUGCAUGGCUGUCGUCAGCUCGU